This 253-nucleotide ribosomal RNA is filed under the name uncultured bacterium. Its description in RNAcentral is "partial 16S ribosomal RNA". It matches the Rfam family "Bacterial small subunit ribosomal RNA", at positions 524 to 776 of the family's 1533-position model. The record is from RNAcentral.
UACGAGAGGCCCAAACGUUAUUCGGAAUUACUGGGCUUAAAGAGUUCGUAGGCGGCAUGACAAGUAGGGUGUGAAAGCCCCGGGCUUAACCUGGGAAUGGCAUUUGGGACUGCAAGGCUUGAGUGCGGCAGAGGAGACUGGAAUUCCUGGUGUAGCAGUGAAAUGCGUAGAUAUCAGGAGGAAUACCGAUGGCGAAGGCAGGUCUCUGGGCUGACACUGACGCUCAUGCACGAAAGCGUGGGGAGCAAACAGG